RNAcentral lists this ribosomal RNA (556 nucleotides) under Carapoia capixaba. Its description in RNAcentral is "partial 28S ribosomal RNA". Lineage: Eukaryota; Metazoa; Arthropoda; Arachnida; Araneae; Pholcidae. The record is from RNAcentral.
AACGGACCCUCGAGAAGGACGGUCCUCGCUCCGCGGUCUCCGCGGCGCCCGACGCACUUCUCCCCGCACUCUGGACGCCGCAACCGAUCGGGUAGCUGCGAGAGUCGGCCGUGGGGCCGUCCCAGGCAGGUGGCCGGUACCGUCGCCUCGUGCGGCGGUUCCGGUUAUUCACGGGGCGGUUCGUGGCGCGACACCCGAUCGAGGUCGACGUUCCCCCUACGGGGAACAAUCCGUCUCCGUCCUAACGGGCGCGGCGGCCGGGACAGUGAGCGCCGGCGAUGCCGAACCACUCCUCGUAGUGGCCGGUGCGUCGGUUGCCGCCGUUGGUUCCGGUCGUGCCGCUGCGGGACGACGCGGGUUGCGGCGAGUAGGUCGGUCACCCACCCGACCCGUCUUGAAACACGGACCAAGGAGUCUAACAUGUGCGCGAGUCGCAGGGUCUUGAACAGGCCCUCGGGCGCAAUGAAAGUGACGGUCCUCGCGACCGAGUUGGGACUCCCGUCGGAGACGGCGGGAAGCACCAACGACCCGUCCCUUCCGAUCCGUCGGUGGGGCG